UUAUAUGGUCAAGAAGAGAAGCGCAAACGGUGGAUGCCUUGGCAGUAAGAGGCGAAGAAGGACGUGGAAUCCUGCGAAAAGCUAUGGGGAGCUGGAAACGAGCGUUGAGCCAUAGAUGUCCGAAUGGGGGAACCCGGCUGCAGCGAUGCGGUCAUUUGCAUUUGAAUACAUAGGAUGCAAAGGCGAACUCGGGGAACUGAAACAUCUAAGUACCCGAAGGAAAAGAAAUCAAGAGAGAUUCUCCAAGUAGCGGCGAGCGAACGGGGAGGAGCCUGGCGUGAUUUAUUAUUGAACUGAGUAGAACAAUUUGGGAAAGUUGGCCGUAGAGGGUGAAAGCCCCGUAUACGAAGGUUUGAUGAGGAACUAGGCACGCGAACAAGUAGGCCGGGACACGUGAAAUCCUGGUUGAAGAUGGGUGGACCAUCAUCCAAGGCUAAAUACUACUUACUGACCGAUAGUGAACCAGUACCGUGAGGGAAAGGUGAAAAGAACCCCGGAGAGGGGAGUGAAAUAGAAUCUGAAACCGUUU
RNAcentral lists this ribosomal RNA (529 nucleotides) under Legionella pneumophila. RNAcentral describes it as "partial 23S ribosomal RNA". It matches the Rfam family "Bacterial large subunit ribosomal RNA", at positions 1 to 561 of the family's 2925-position model. Lineage: Bacteria; Pseudomonadati; Pseudomonadota; Gammaproteobacteria; Legionellales; Legionellaceae. The record is from RNAcentral. RNAcentral also lists the same sequence under 1 other name.